GUGAGGAAUAUUGGACAAUGGGUGGAAGCCUGAUCCAGCCAUCCCGCGUGUAGGAUGACGGCCUUAUGGGUUGUAAACUACUUUUAUCUGGGGAUAAACCUACUCACGUGUGAGUAGCUGAAGGUACCAGAAGAAUAAGCACCGGCUAACUCCGUGCCAGCAGCCGCGGUAAUACGGAGGGUGCAAGCGUUAUCCGGAUUUAUUGGGUUUAAAGGGUCCGUAGGCGGAUUAAUCAGUCAGUGGUGAAAUCUCAUAGCUUAACUAUGAAACUGCCAUUGAUACUGUUAGUCUUGAGUGAUGUUGAAGUUGCUGGAAUGUGUAGUGUAGCGGUGAAAUGCUUAGAUAUUACGCAGAACACCAAUUGCGAAGGCAGGUGACUAAACAUCAACUGACGCUGAUGGACGAAAGCGUGGGGAGCGAACAGG
This 425-nucleotide ribosomal RNA is filed under the name uncultured bacterium. RNAcentral's name for it is "bacterial SSU rRNA". It matches the Rfam family "Bacterial small subunit ribosomal RNA", at positions 354 to 776 of the family's 1533-position model. The record is from RNAcentral.